AGAGUUUGAUCCUGGCUCAGGAUGAACGCUGGCGAGAUGCCUUACACAUGCAAGUCAUACGAGAAUUUUUAAUUCAAGUGGCGGACGGGUGAGUAACACGUAAGAAUUUGCCUUUAGGAGGGGGACAACAACUGGAAACGGUCGCUAAUACCCCAUGUGCUUUCGAGUGAAAUGGAUUUUUCCGCCUAAAGAGAAGCUUGCGGCUGAUUAGCUUGUUGGUGAGGUAAUGGCUUACCAAGGCGACGAUCAGUAUCUGGUUUCUGAGGAUGAUCAGACACACUGGAACUGAGACACGGUCCAGACUCCUACGGGAGGCAGCAGUGGGGAAUUUUCCGCCGUGGGCGAAAGCCUGACGGAGCAAUCUCGCGUGAGGGAAGCUACAGUAUGGGUUGUAAACCUCUUUUUCAGGGAGGAAUAAAUGACGUGUACC
RNAcentral lists this ribosomal RNA (430 nucleotides) under uncultured bacterium. RNAcentral describes it as "bacterial SSU rRNA". It matches the Rfam family "Bacterial small subunit ribosomal RNA", at positions 8 to 464 of the family's 1533-position model. The record is from RNAcentral.